Molecule: unclassified non-coding RNA, 5385 nt
Filed under: Hevea brasiliensis (rubber tree)
Lineage: Eukaryota; Viridiplantae; Streptophyta; Magnoliopsida; Malpighiales; Euphorbiaceae
Source: RNAcentral
UCUCUCUCUCUCUCUCUCUAUACCCUUUACUAGGCUCUUCAAGUCAAACGCUCCAAGCAAAUGACAACAAACUAGUCUGAUUCCCCGAUUUCUUUUUCCGUUGGUUAGGUAGUGAUCUUAGAAUCGGAUGAUAUAUCCGAUCGUCGGUGGAGAUCGGCGAUGCUCGUCGGUUCCCGUGCCGGUGGGGGAGGAUGGCGGUGGUGAUGGUGGAGUAGCUGGGGAGUCCUUUUGUGAGUCGGUGGUAGUUGAGAGGAGUUCAGGAGGUGGAGGAUGAAGAAAGGAAAGAGUAAAAACACUGGCUUGUUACCGAAUUCCUUGAGGAUUAUCUCUUCUUGCCUCAAAACUGUUUCUACUAAUGCUAGCACCGUUGCUUCCACGGUUAGGUCUGCUGGCGCGUCGGUUGCUGCGUCUAUUUCAACUGCUACUGAGGAUCACAAAGAUCAGGUCACCUGGGCAAGCUUUGACUGGUUGGAGCUAGGUCCAUCUGUCUUCAAGCAUGUUCUCUUACUUGGUUAUCAGAAUGGCUUUCAAGUCCUUGAUGUGGAGGAUGCUUCUAAUUUUAGUGAACUGGUUUCGAAGCGUGAUGGUCCAGUUUCAUAUUUACAGAUGCAGCCUUUCCCUACAAAGUCUGAUGGCCAAGAAGGAUUCAGAUCAUCGCAUCCUUUACUAUUGGUUGUUGCAGGGGAUGAUUUUAACAGUUUAAAUGUGGGUCAAAAUCAUAGUCUUCUAGGUGGGCUAGGAAGAGAGAAUAACAGCGAGUCUCUGUCAGGAAACUAUAUUAAUUCUCCAACUACUGUUCAGUUUUACUCCUUUCGGUCUCACUGUUAUGUGCAUGUUCUGAGAUUUCGCUCGGCUGUGCAUAUGGUUCGAUGCAGCCCUCGGAUUGUAGCUGUGGGCCUUGCAACUCAAAUAUAUUGUGUUGAUGCUCUCACUCUUGAGAGUAAAUUCAGUGUUCUUACCUAUCCUGUUCCCCAGUUAGCUGGACAAGGAACAGUAGGAGUCAAUCUAGGUUAUGGUCCGAUGGCUGUGGGUCCUCGGUGGUUAGCUUAUGCUUCGAACAAUCCACUGGUGUCAAAUUCAACUCGCUUAAGUCCAAAAAAUCUUACUCCAUCUCCAGGUGUCAGUCCAUCAACGUCACCAGGUGGUACUAGUCUGGUUGCUCGUUAUGCAAUGGAAUCUAGUAAACAGCUGGCUGCUGGAAUAAUUAACCUUGGUGACAUGGGAUACAAAACAUUGUCUAAAUACUAUCAAGAGCUCCUCCCUGAUGGGUCUAAUUCUCCAGUUUCAUCCAAUUCUGGCUGGAAAGUUGGUAGACUUGCAGGAUCGGACAUGUAUAAUGCAGGGAUGGUAAGCUUUCUAUUGAAUCCAGAACACAAGCAUGUCUUCACUUCUGGUACCAUUAAAAUCUAAUCAUUGUUCCAUGACUGGAACAUGUGAGAACGGUUUCCACUAUUCUUCUAAAUUAUGGACCCAUUUGUUUGGGCAGGCAUAUGCUAGUAACGAUUAGCCCAUUGCUAUCAUGGUUGCUAUGGUAUAAUGCAGAUCUUUUAUGAUUUUAGUGACAUUUCAGAAGUUCAUUCAAAUGCUAGCUCCACAAACCCUACAGGUAAAGCUGUAGGUUGGAUUGGGGCAGGUCUUUGAUGCAUCUGUUGCAUACAACAUGAGAUAUUUUAUUAUCACAGACACACACUAGAAAUUAGCUUCAAAGUUAAUUUUUUUUCUUUUUUCAUUCUAGUUUGCAAAAAGUUGUCUGAUAUACUCACCAAUACGACAGUAACAGUGUUUGAAGCUAGAAGCCAUGCCUUGGACCCGUUUUUUUUUUGUACUAUUCUCAUCCAAGAAAAUGGCCUUAGUGUUUCAUUUGGCCUGUGGAGGAGAAAACCUUUAUCAUUUUCUUUUCCUCAAAACGAAAUGACAUCAUGUUGGAGGAUAUAAAAAGUUGACACAUGUAUUGGUUCUUGCACAAAAAGAUAGGCAGAAGUUUUUUGGAGAGCAUUAGAUUUGAAUUAAUGUAUUAGUUUAUUUCUUUUCCUGGUUAAAAAUGGUUCUUGCAGGUAGUUGUCAAGGAUUUUGUUUCUCGAGCUGUUAUAUCACAAUUUAAAGCUCAUACCAGUCCCAUAGCUGCACUGUGUUUUGACCCUAGUGGGACCUUGCUUGUUACUGCUUCAAUUUAUGGAAAUAACAUAAAUAUUUUCCGUAUUAUGCCAUCCUGUUCACGGACUGGAUCAGGUGCUCAAAGCUAUGAGUGGAACUCUUCUCAUGUGCAUCUUUACAAGCUACAUCGUGGAAUAACUUCAGCUAUGAUCCAGGAUAUAUGCUUUAGUCACUAUAGUCAGUGGAUUGCAAUUGUUUCAUCCAAAGGAACCUGUCAUGUCUUCACUUUAUCUCCAUUUGGCGGUGAUUCUGGAUUUCAAUCUCUUAAUUCUACGGGUGAGGACCCUUCCCUAUAUCCAGUGUUGUCUCCACCUUGGUGGUCCACAUCAUCUUGCAUGAUCAAUCAGCAUUCUUCUCCACUGCCCCUACCCGUCACACUUUCUGUGGUGAGCAGAAUAAAAUAUAGUAGUUUUGGGUGGCUUAAUACUGUUGGCAGUGCCAAUGGCUCUGUAGCAGGAAAGGUUUUUGUACCAUCUGGUGCAGUUGCUGCUGUUUUUCAUAAUUCUAAAUCUCAAAGCGUUCAGCAUGUUAACUCAAGGGCCAAUUCCUUGGAGCAUUUGUUAGUUUUUACUCCAUCAGGUCAUGUAGUUCAGCACGAGCUUCUUCCAUCUAUUGGGCUAGGUCCAGGUGAAAGUGGUUCAAGAACCCAGCUAGUUUCAUUUGUACAAAUACAAGACGAUGACUUGAAGGUCAAAGUUGAACCAGUUCAAUGGUGGGAUGUAUGUAGAAGAUCAGAUUGGUCAGAAAGAGAGGAAUGCAUUUUUGGGAGUACAGGUGGAAAAGACGCUGUUGAAAUAAUUCAAAGAACAUCAGGAUCUGGGGAUAAUUUUAACAUGGAAUUUCUAGACAUCAAUGAUGAUUCCAGUGAAAAGAAAUCAGAAAAAACAUGUUCUGUAAAAUCUCAUGAGAGAUCCCACUGGUACCUUUCUAAUGCAGAGGUGCAUUUAAGCUCUUUGAGGUUGCCAAUAUGGCAAAAAUCUAAGGUAAAAACUGAAGUUAUGAUGCCUAUGUAUUGGUUCUAUAUCUUGGUUGUGAUUUAUUUUCUUCACCAUCUUAGAUUUGCUUCUAUGUGAUGGAUUCUCCAAGAGUUAAUAGUUAUGGUGAUGGAGAGUUUGAAAUUGAAAAUCUUCCCAUCCAUGAAGUUGAAUUAAAGCGAAAGGAAUUAUUGCCAGUUUUUGAUCAUUUUCACAGCAUCAAAUCAGUGUGGAAUGAUAGGUAAUGACCAUUUUUAUCUGUAGUUACUUGGUUCUUUUAUCUGUAUAUUUAAUAAGAAGCUGAGUAGUUCUUGUCACGACUUCUUGAUGUUAAUAUAUUGAAAAAAGUUUCAGCUGAGGUUGAUUGGGAGAUCGUCUUAGUGAUGGAUGAUGACUGAUGUUUGAGUAAAAUUAGGCUCAGUUUGUACUUUGGAACUCUCAUAUACUGCUUCAAUUCCCCUAGGGCAGGUUGGAGAUGGGGUCUUGUGGUAAGCUGUAUUAAAAUAUUAGACGUCCUGGUGGAUUGCAAUAGUGUUCUUUAUUCCUUGUUGCAAAAUGAUGAGAUUGACACUAGUUUUAAUUGGUAUUCUGUACUUCUAAAUAAAAUUUGGUGGCUAUCCGCUAUAGUGUAUUUUUUCUUUUGUAAUAAGCAUGAAACUCCUCUAUUCAUACUACUUUGUUUAGAGGCCCUGCCAAGGGUAUAUGUCCUCAUUCUUUGUCCUUUCCAGUGUACGGUGCAUAAUUUUGUACUUUGAAUUGCUUGCUUUGUUCCAUUGUUUAGAGGCCUCGCCACAGCAAGAUAUAACCUUUCACCAUCAGCAGAACCACUUCAAGUUGAGGGCAAGAUCACACAGGAGACUGUUAUUUGUCACUCGAUGCCAGCAUCACUUAGCUCAACUGAAAGUUCAGAAUGUGGUAAGUUGUUGUAUGUAUAUGUCAAUUCCAUCCAUCUGCAUGACAUCUGGUAGAGAAUCUCUUUAUUUGAUACUUGGAAUGUAUGGAGUUUGGUUGCUGUGAGAGAAUCUCUUCAUCAUUGUGCCCCUUUCUUACCUAGUGCUUGGCUGAUAUACUAAUGCAUUAAAAAGAAUGAAUUAAAAUUUCAUUUAACACCCCAAUUUUAGUUAUUUAAGUGACAAUUGAAGCCUGCUACUUAAUAGUUACCUGUAUGAAUGUCUCUUAUAUUGGUAUUGUUAUUUGUGAAACUCUAUAACUUUGAAUCAUUUUCAUUUUUUAAUCAGGUUCAUCAAGAAGAAUUGAGCAUCUGCUAGAUUUGGAUCCAAUAAAUUGUGAGAAAUCUUACAUUCCCACUUGUCAGAAUCUGAAUGACUGCAACCAGGAAAGAAAAGGUGGUAUUAUUAUCAAGUCUGGCACACAGAAUAAGAAUUCCUUAGCCAUUGUAUCUCUUCCACCUGAACUCCCAAAAAAUGUAGAUGCUCACGUUAUCAAUUGUGUUGAAAAUGGUUUGUCUUUGUCAGAAAAUUACUUGCCUCCUGCAGGAAGAAUAUCUGUUGGAGAAGCUCCAAUUUUGAACAUGAAUGGGAAUGGUGAUCUUUCAGUAUUAAAUUCUGAUGGUUAUGAUUCACAUAUGAAUAUCCUUGUGGGAGGGUCCACUAUCCCAACAGGGAAGCCAUUAGAUUUUGAGCUGUCUUUUCAGGAGGGGCAAUAUAAGGCAUUGGACCUUGAUGAAUGCCACAGGUCAACUGAAGUCAUAGCUGAUGAUGUCGACAGCAGCAGUAGCCACUGAGAAGGACAAGCCUGAAGAGGAUGGCGAUAAUGAUGAAUUUCUUGGUGGCAUGUUUGCAUUUUCUGAAGAAGGUUGAUCUCAACUCCUGUACUAAGUGAAAGUUCCAAGUGGUGACUUUUGCGUGUCGCUACAACUAAAGCUUGGUGUUAUUUCAUUGAAGACGUUACCUAUUGACGAUGAAAGUAAAGUGAUGGUGUGAAUAAGAGGGGUGGCAAUUCAAACUACGAUAUUUGCCGUUGUAUUUAAUCUUCUCUCUCACUCUGUGGUGUACAUUCUGUAAAUGAAAAUUAUUAAAUUCGUGGAGGGUGCUAACAGGUGAAGUAUAAACGUAGGACUAGAUGUGGAUUUGCUUUCCGUAUCUUCUGUUAAUCCUCUGUACAGAUGUGUGAACAAAGUUCUCUGCAAGCUGUACAACUGUAUAUAGUUUUUUAAUUUAUUAUCAUUAUUAUGCCAAAAAGAAAAGGAAUGCAAUGGAAAAGACGAAUUCAUGUGUUGGCCAUAAAUGUAUAAGCU